RNAcentral lists this ribosomal RNA (253 nucleotides) under uncultured bacterium. RNAcentral describes it as "partial 16S ribosomal RNA". It matches the Rfam family "Bacterial small subunit ribosomal RNA", at positions 524 to 776 of the family's 1533-position model. The record is from RNAcentral.
UACGAAGGGGGCUAGCGUUGCUCGGAAUUACUGGGCGUAAAGGGCGCGUAGGCGGAUAUCUAAGUUGGGGGUGAAAUCCCGGGGCUCAACCUCGGAAUUGCCUUCAAAACUGGAUAUCUUGAGUUCGGGAGAGGUGAGUGGAACUCCGAGUGUAGAGGUGAAAUUCGUAGAUAUUCGGAAGAACACCAGUGGCGAAGGCGACUCACUGGUCCGGUACUGACGCUGAGGUGCGAAAGCGUGGGGAGCAAACAGG